AGUAUACAAGGGUUUAACACCGCUGAUAUUUUGAAAGAAAGUUUCCCCAAUUUUUCUUCUGCUAAACAGCCACUGCUCCUCUCGUUAACCUUUGAUUUGGUUCCUGCUCAAGCUCUUUCAUUUAUUCAGUCAUUAUUCUUCCUCUUAAUUACUUUCUUACCCGGAUGGAUGAAACUUGCAUCUAUAUUGCUUACAAUGGCAGAUGGACUACUAAUAACAAGUAUUUGGAUCAUGAGACCAAACUAAUUCUUGUAAAUGAUGAAAUAACCUUUGAAGUUCUUGUUGAAAAGAUUUUUCAGGUUCUAAAACUUAAAAGGGGUGAGAUUGAAGUAAAUAUUUGGUUUGAUACGAAUCUAGAAACAAGCAAAGGGAUGUUAGUAACAAACGACAAUGAAGUUACUACUUGCAUCUUCUUGGUGAGAAAUGAUUCCAAUUUCAAGACUGCCCGUUUCAUUGUUGAUAUCGCAAAAAGGAAUUCUUUGUCAGCAAAUAGUUCAGAAACGGAAUUGUGCAAUAACAUUGUACAUGAAGAAGUAAAUAUUUGUAUUCCACCGGAGGAAGGAGUAUGGGAUAUGCAUAUUGGAGAUAAAGCAUUGAUAGUGGUUGAACCAGCAAUAGCGCCUGAACCUCUGACAAGAAGAAAAUUAACCGAGGAAACUGGACAUACAUCAAAUUGUAGGAAUGUAAGAAAAAGGUCUGCCAGUAAAAGAGGCGAUUUGCAAACUAUGGUUUUGAGCGAAGAUGCUUCAUUGGAUGAAAUAGUUGUUGGAUCUAUGUUUGAGGACAAAGAGAGUUUGAAAAAAUGUUUUUCAAAUAAUGCUAUUAAGUACCAGUUCAAUUUUAAGGUCUAUAGAUCGAGCAAAACAAGGUAUUGUCUGAAGUGUUAUGAUGACGAAUGCAGUUGGUAUUUGCAUUCCACACAGGUCCAUGAUUCUGCAUUAUUCAAGAUUACUAAGUUUGAGAAAAACCAUAGCUGCUCUAUUGAUGCAACUGACCAGCGACACGCAACAUCAAAGGUCAUAUCCGAUUACAUCAAUGAGCUAUUACAUGACAAUAAAGUAGAAAUCAAACCAAGGUUUGUGGUAGUAGAAAUGAGAAAGAGAUAUGGACUGAGCAUUAGUUACCAUAAAGCAUGGCGUGCAAUACAAUUAGCUCUUGGUAUGAUAAGCGGAAGUCCAGAAAAGGAUGAUCAGACCCAAAACUAAUAGGGUCUAACAAAAGUGUAGCACACUAUGUGUUGUUCUCCAAUUUGGACACUACCUACUCGAGAUUUAACCUCUCUACAAAGGGAAGUGUGUUGGAAGAGCAAUGGCAACUUUAAAAUCAUAUUUUCCUUUCGUGGUGCCAUAGUGUAAGCAAGGGCAGCCCGGUGCACAAAGCAUCCCGUGUUUACGCAGGGUCUAGGGAAGGGCCGCAUCCUAAGGGGUGUAAUGUAGGCAGCCUACCCUGAUGCAAGCAUGCUGAUUCCACGGCUCGAGCAACUGACCUAUAGGUCAUAGGGUAAUAACUUGACCGUUUCUCCAAGGCUCCUCUUCCCAUAAUAUAAGCAAGACAAAGCUAAUUUGCAUCAGAUACAAUAUUCAUUAUUGUUCCUUUGUAUUUAAGCAUUUACUAUUGUUACUAUGAGACAUUGUCCACAUUUGUCUUGUGACAUUUAUCGCCAACUAUAUUAACUUAAAGCGA
Molecule: RNA transcript, 1683 nt
Organism: Nicotiana attenuata
Lineage: Eukaryota; Viridiplantae; Streptophyta; Magnoliopsida; Solanales; Solanaceae
Exons: 3
Source: RefSeq, a predicted model, not a curated record